Molecule: ribosomal RNA, 484 nt
Filed under: uncultured bacterium
Lineage: Bacteria
Description: bacterial SSU rRNA
Rfam family: Bacterial small subunit ribosomal RNA
Source: RNAcentral
AUUGAACGCUGGCGGCAUGCCUUACACAUGCAAGUCGAACGGCAGCACGGGAGCAAUCCUGGUGGCGAGUGGCGAACGGGUGAGUAAUAUAUCGGAACGUGCCCAGUCGUGGGGGAUAACGUAGCGAAAGCUACGCUAAUACCGCAUACGAUCUACGGAUGAAAGCGGGGGAUCGCAAGACCUCGCGCGAUUGGAGCGGCCGAUAUCAGAUUAGCUAGUUGGUGGGGUAAAAGCUCACCAAGGCGACGAUCUGUAGCUGGUCUGAGAGGACGACCAGCCACACUGGAACUGAGACACGGUCCAAACUCCUACGGGAGGCAGCAGUGGGGAAUUUUGGACAAUGGGCGCAAGCCUGAUCCAGCAAUGCCGCGUGCAGGAUGAAGGCCUUCGGGUUGUAAACUGCUUUUGUACGGAACGAAACGGUGAGCUCUAAUAAAGCUUGCUAAUGACGGUACCGUAAGAAUAAGCACCGGCUAACUACGUG